AGCUGAAAAGUUGAAAUCUUUGUGUAUAUAGUCAACUGAUUGUUUGAUUUGGUGAAAUGGGGUUGCUUCAUGUGUGUUUAAUGUUUGUGUGUUUUGGUUGUUUUGGGUUUUUACUUCUGAUUCUUGGAUAUUCAAGUUGUAAAGUUGUAAUUUUUGUGCAUAUAGUCAACUGAUUGUUUGAUUUGGUGAAAUGGGGUUGCUUUAUGUUUGUUUAAUUUUUGUGGGUUUUGGUUGUUUUGGGUUGUUACUUCUAAUUCUUGGAUAUUCAAGUUGUGAAGUUGUAAUCUUUGUGUAUAUAGUCAACGGAUUAUUUGAUUUGGUGAAAUGGGGUUGCUUUAUGUUUGUCCAAUUUUUGUGAGUUUUGGUUGUUUUGGGUUUUUACUUCUGAUUCUUGGAUAUUCAGCUGUUUACCAUUGAGGUACUUUGACCUGGAUCUUGAUAUCAUAAUCACUGUGUUAAAAUUUAAAUGUUAUGCUACUUGAUUGUUGUGGUAGUAUGUUAUGGAAGUGCCGCGAUGACCUGCUCCCUCUGGUUAAUUUAGUCUAGGUUGUAGUUGGAUCCAAGGGGGUGAAGCUGGAAUGAGAAUUCUGGGAGAUCAGAGUUCCAUCACAGAAGAAAAUGAAAUGUUGGGUGAUCUUUUCCUAUCUGGCUAUGCCUUGGUGGGAAGAGUCAUUGACCGAUAUCGUCUAAUGGAGGAAUGCAGGCAUCCAAAGUAAUAAUUGAGUGGUGUGCAUAAGCUGGCUUAGCACUACUGUCAUUUUAAAAGAAAAGGUUUUGGUCAUAGUCGUCGAGGAAUUAUUUGCAAUUGGAAAUUUAGAAUUUUGGGACAAAUUAUGGUUAAUUUGCGGAAUGGUAGUACUUUAGAAUCGGAGAACUAGUGCCUUCAAUUAGUAUCUACUAACAAGUUAAGUGGCAAAUGAUAUCAUUACUUUAUGUCAUUUUGUAUGAAGGCCUCAUAGAACCAGAAGGAAGGUCCUUGUAACAUGAUGUGAUGAAAUGUUAGAGGAGUUUGGUAGCCUCAAGUCUGGUUCCAAUCUUCCACUUCUGCAGACGAGGCAAGAUGGUUCCCCCUACCAACUCCAGCACCAAGACAAAAUAAGAAAAGGACAAAACACUUUGACCUCCAAAGAUUUGCAGCUUCUCCAUUUCACAAUAUAUAGAUUUUGGAAUUUUUAACUGUUUUAUCUCAGCAUAUCAUAUCAGUUAACUAGUUAUCUGCGUAUCAGGUGACAAUGUGUAUUGUGCAUUACUAAAAUUUUGAAGAACAAUGGUUGUCAUAGAUAAAUUAUUGGUACCAUUAUUCAUAAGCUUGUCAAGUGUUGCUGUUUUUGGUAGCUUAUGGCAUAUUAAAAAUUCUAAUGUAACCAACAUCAGGUAGUGAAGUUUGAUAGUUCAAAUUUUAAGCAAUCUUUCAUAGUUAAUGACACUUCAUAGUUCAAACUUCAAACAACUUCCCCCAUCCCUAAGUUGAACCAAUUAAAAAAGUUUAGAUGUCAUUUUCCCUCUUGUCAAUCAUCCUUCUUAUUUCUGAACACUUGUUGCCUCACUUCAGUGUCAUGCUUUUGCUUACUUUUCUAUUUUAUGUUCUUGUCUUCAGAUAAGUUGAAAUCAAAGAAUUCAUUACGCUCAAAGGAAGUUGAUAAGGAUGCAGGGUCCAACCAAAUUGCAGCCAAGACUUUUAUAUUUCGUGAUUUAGCAGCUGCAACAAAAAAUUUCCGAGGUGAUUUUCUUCUUGGAGAAGGAGGCUUUGGUAGAGUUUACAAAGGGGUGAUCGAGUCCAAUCAGGUCAAUUCUCAUCAAGUCUUUUUGGUUUUUGCUAAUAAUGGAACGUAACAAAGUAAUCAAUAGUUUGGUUUGCCUCUAAUCUACCAGAUUCUGUUGCACUCCCUACUGAAUAAUGUUGUUGUGUAAAUCUUCAGAGUAUUUUACUGAUUUUUCUUCUUGAUUCUUACUGAGCCACGGCCACAGACUUUUAUCUUUUUCGGAUGAGCAUAGCUAUGUUAUCUUAAGUUGGCUCAUUUGCAGAGGGUGAACACUUGGGGCUUCUUUCCAGUCUGUCAAUUGGCAAAAAGUGGAACACUGGGUCACUUGAGUUUUUAGUUGCAUGAGAAAUCUGAAACGUAAAUUUCACUUUUGCUCUUUAGCAUCUGCAAAGUGAGGCUAGGACUUACUCAAAUCAGGAAAAUACUUUUCUUCUUUCUAACAAGUGGUGAUGUACAUUUCAUGGAUACUUUGGUUUCUAUUACGCUUUUUGCCAUAUUCGUUGAGCUAAUUGGGAUCAAUUCCUUUUUGCCAUAUUCUGGGUCGAGCUCGUCGCACCGGGCUUGCCUAGUGUGGGUUACCUCUCCUAUGUGGUUUGCGAGCUAUUGCAUAGGAGCGGGGGUUUUACCUUGUGCGCACCCAAAGGGUAGCGGCUGCGGGUUUCCCUUGUCAUCAAAAAAAUAAAAAUAAAUUUGGGAUCAAUUCCCCUUUUCUCACAUAUAUGUGGGGUUCGAGUUGAAAUAGGCAAAAGGUAUAACUGAUAGUCAUUUACAUUUUCUUCUAGUGUUGGCACCAUGCUUGAUGGUUUGCUUCUCACUUCUAAGUUGUUAGCUGGAGCUGAAGUUUAACAUCUUUUGUUUACUUUAAAUGGUGCAGGUCGUCGCCAUCAAGCAACUCGAUCGUAAUGGAUUGCAAGGCAACAGGGAAUUUCUUGUUGAAGUGCUGAUGUUAAGUCUGUUACACCAUCCUAACCUUGUAAAUCUAAUUGGCUAUUGUGCUGAUGGAGAUCAGAGACUUCUGGUCUACGAAUAUAUGCCAUUAGGGUCAUUGGAGGAUCAUCUUCAUGGUAAUCUUUCUUAGGUAGACUUUCUUUUUCAUUUUAUUUUGAAGUCGGAUUAAAUUUGGAAUUGAAGUAUUGCUCUGCAGAUCCUACGCCAGGUAAGGAACGGCUAGAUUGGAACACAAGAAUGAAAAUUGCUGCCGGAGCAGCAAAAGGGUUGGAAUAUCUACACAGUGCAAGUCCCCCUGUAAUAUACCGUGAUUUAAAAUGCUCCAACAUUUUACUUGGUGAGGGUUAUCACGCGAAGCUCUCUGACUUCGGCUUGGCCAAAUUGGGGCCUGUAGGAGAUAACACCCAUGUUUCUACAAGAGUUAUGGGUACUUAUGGGUACUGUGCACCAGAGUAUGCCAUGACGGGACAAUUGACUUUGAAGUCGGAUGUUUACAGCUUUGGGGUAGUCCUCCUGGAGAUCAUUACAGGCAGGAAAGCAAUUGAAAGUUCAAAAACUGGAGGAGAUUUCAAUCUGGUUAUAUGGGUAAGAUUUUCUUAUCAUACAGCUUUUUGGUAACUCUUUUUUCUGUGGUGGCCUGUUGUUUCAUUGAUGUAUUAUGAUCUCUAUAGUUGUUCAACUCUAGAAGGGAAGAAAGUAUUAUCGGACAGUUAUAAAAUGUCUCUACAGUUAUCUGCAAUCCAUAAGAUGAGUUCAAUGAAUGAGUAAAAAAACUGGUAAUUGCUGAUUUAAUAUGCGUUUGAAAAAUCUAGUGCACUAUCUGGAGGCAAAUGCGUCUGAAUGGCUUUAGAAUCCUUCGUGGAAGAUCUAGAGUAUUUUUUUCCUGAAUGAAAUAACAAAUAUACUAUUACUCUUAACAGUGUUUUAAAAGGCGGGGGCGUGAGGCGAGGCGUUUUACUUAGUAUAGGGAGAGGCAUAAGCCUUGAGACGUGGGGCGUAAGCCCUAUGGAUCUUCAAAUUUUUAAUUUAUAAUAUAGUAUAAUAAUAUAAUAACACAAAAUUAUAAAAAUAAAUCAAUAGUUUGAAAUAAUUACAAAUAUGAUUAAAUAAACUAAUAGAAAAUAAAAGUUCUGACAUGAUUAUACAAGUAUAAAUAAUCUAAUGUCUUAACUUUCUAAUAAUAAUGAAUCAUUAUUUCUCAAAAAUAUUUUUUAUCAUACUAUAAAAUUUACCCCCUAAAAGAAAAUAAUUAAUAACCUUACUAGUAUUAUAAUAAAAACAUCACUCCAUCAUGAAUAAAAAUAAAAUUACUUUCAAAUAGCUAAAUAAAAUAUAAUAAUUUUGAGACAUGACAAAACAAUGAAGACCAAUGUUAAGUGAAAAGGUAAAAUUUCGUGACGUAUUUUUAAAAGAAAUGUUACGUAAUAUAUAAUUACUUUCACAGUGUUACCAAAUAGGAAAUAUGUGAUACUAAAACUUGUUAUUUGAGUUAUUCUCAGUCUUCUUAUCUCUAUAGAUUAAAAAUUAUCAAAUAUCAUACAAUUAUUCAAGAAUUAUGAGGGUCAACAAUGUUAACUAAAGAUUUUAACACAUAAUUUGUGUAAGAUCUGUUAGGCGAGCCUCGAGGGUUGGGCGUUGGGCGUGAUUGAGGCGUACAGUCGGGCGCUUGGGGCGUAAGUCUGACAGAACUAAGCCCUACACUUGAGUCUCGGGCGUUUUGCUAGAGCCCUGCCCUAGGGCGAUCCCCAAGGCGAGUCCCAACAGAGUUUUUUAAAACACUGAUUCUUAAGGCUGGGUAAACCAGUUGAUGUUGACGUGCUGUUCAAUGAAACAGUGUCAGAUGACACCACUUGAAGCAAUGUAUCUACACCAUGGGGGGUAGGGGCAAGGUUGGGUAUUUCAGUUGAUGUUGACGCGCUGUUAAUCUCUGUUUAAAGCUGGUGGAAGGUAGUGGAACAUUCAGUGUCGGAAGUUUCCUUUCAAGGUCUCGUUUAUGUGAUGUUUAGGGAAGAUCUUGAUCCUCUAUUGUGUGUCAAAUGGAGCGAAGGAGAGAUUUAUAGAGUUUACAUCCUCUUUGGUUACACUUUUCUUGGGUCAUUAUAUGUGUGUGGGGGGUGGGGGUGGGGGUGUAGAUUGUUCUUUUCUGUUAGGCAGCCAUAAAGAGAACCAAGUUUCUAAUUAUAUAGUUGUGCUCUGUAUAUCAGGCAAGACCAUUGUUCAAAGAUCGGAGGAAGUUCUCACAGAUGGCUGAUCCAAUGCUACAAGGCCAUUAUCCAGUAAGGGGCAUGUACCAAGCUCUAGCAGUUGCAGCAAUGUGUGUUCAGGAGCAACCUAACAUGCGUCCAGUCAUAGCAGAUGUUGUCACGGCUUUAACUUACCUUGCUUCACAAAAGUUUGACCAUGAAACCCGAGGGGGCAUCCAAACUUCACGGCCAGGACCUGCUACUUCACCUAGAAUGAAACGAUGGUGACAAGCUGCAAAAAGGUUAAAAUGGAGCUAUGAACUAGAUGGGUGAUGGGAACAAAACAAGAUCAUCAAAAAAGGGGGAGCCAAGGCUGGAACCUCUUGAAUAUCAGCUAAGUUGAAAGUACAGAUAACAAACCACAAUCAGUGGCACCUAGAGUGCAGGUUCAAUCAUCUGAACUAUAUUGGCGCAACAAAUAUUUUUUCCCUCAGAAGUCAGACCAACUAUGAGGUCCUCCCUUGUUCUUUCUCAGUUGAAGCUGCUAGUUCCUGUUAAUUAUUGCAUUAAUAGGUGAUUUAUGUUUGUCCAAUUUGUGGUUUUGGUCAUUCUUUGGUAAACCUCCAAAUCCUGGUCUGGUAUUUUUGUUGUACAGACAUGCCUUGUGUUUACGAGUGCAAGUAUGUAUUAGAAUAGCUCAUUAUGAUGUACAAUCGCGUGAUUGUGUUUAUUUCCUGCAGCUAUAUAAGUUGAAAUGACAUUUUCGAGGAGAACUCAUAAAAUUGUAAUACUACAAGCUAGCAUAUAUGACUCUUGAAUGCUACUAAAAGAACAUUUUGUUUUCUUCUUCUUUUAAUGUUGGUUUACUGUUCAAUUUGAUAUAAUGAGUCUCAUUAAAAUGACUUGUUGACUCCCCAUAUUGUAGAGAAAAAAGAGAAGAUUUAAGUGUUGUCCAUGGAGAAGAUAAUCGUUGUAAUAAUUCAUCCCAACCUGAGUUGCAUUAAGAAAUCAAAUUAUUACAAAAAGAAACAUGCUAAAAGAUUGUUAAUUUUGUCAUUGUCAUAUCAAUUGAAUAAAGUACAUUUGGCAGAGCAAGUUCAAGACAACGACGAAGAGAAGAAAAAAAAAAAGGAACAUCAUAGAUAUCUCCUCUAUCCUCCUAAAGAACAUGAUCUUGAGAGCAUCCCAACUCAUUGAUCAGAUUUCUUUACAAGACUCAGCAAGACUCCAGUGCUUAGACAUGUCGCUACAACACCAAGAGACGCCUCUGUGGAAACAUGGUAUCCUGCGUGAAUUUUGAUAUCAGUUAAGACACUUCCCUGGGAUUUCAAUUGUAAGAGGAAAAAGCUCACCUGAUGUUUGCAGAAACUUACCGAAAAAGUCUAGGAUCAUUUUGAAUCCAAUGAAUCCCAGGACAACACCAAUGGAAGGCUGAAUAGAAAUUGGAUCUUAGUUAAAAAUUAUCAUCCAUGAAAGUGAAGUGAACUUUAAGGAACAGUCACUAACAGACUUGCGGCUAGUUUGAUUAGUUCUAUUUAAAUAUUCUAAUGCUAUUGUCUGUAGAACAAGAGCUCUAACUUGAGCAAUCAUGACUGACUUGGGACGAUUGAGUGAAUGGCUGUUGUAAUACAGCAAGCAAAGACUGAUAAAAGCAAGUCAAUACUCACCUGUAGAUAUUCCAACUCCCCCAUACUUUCAGAAAUGAGUGUGUACAAUGACCUCAAUCCUGCAUAAGAAGAGCUAGGUUGGUCACCUAGUUUAUAGGGAAGAAAAACAUAUUUCGCAGAAGGGUAAUAAAUAAAAAUCUACUUCUUCACGAAAUCAGAAUGAGUAAAAACAAGACAGAUUUUUUUCGUGAACAACUAACCCCAUGCACACGAGUCCUCAAUAUAUAUAAAAGAAUGUCAACGACAUGCCAAAUAUCACUAGUUUAAACCAACUCGAAUUUGGUACAAGAAAUCACAUUUCAAUUAGUAAUUGGCUUUUUUUAUAGCUCUUGUGGUUAAAAACUUAAAAUAAGAAGCAAAGUAAAGAACACAGGCUUUACCUAAAAUUGCAAAGAGAUUGGAUGUGAAAACUAUGAAAGGAUCUCUUGUGACACCAAAAACUGCUGGUAUAGAAUCAACCUGAGAAGAACACAACAUUGUUGUUAGGACGGAAACAAACAGGUAUGUUAGCCCUUAAGAUAUGUCAAAUCCAGCAUGAACAGAAAACUCACAGCGAAUGCAAUAUCACUGAGUUCAAUAACCGCUACUGUCAGAAGUAAAGGGGUAGCCUGCCCAAAAUGUUUAAGGCUGUUAAAAAUCAGAACAAUCAAUAUAAAAAAUAUUCUAGAAAAGUAUAUAACAAGUACACAGGCUUUUGUUUGUAUAGAUGGUCAAAAGAUGCCGGAUUUCGUUAAGCCAGAAAUUUAAAAGUAUAAAUUGAUAUAUGCAUGAAUAUUAUUGAGGUGACAUGCUAGGACAAAUAUAAAUUUCAACUGCUAAAAUAACUCCCUGUUGACUUACUUUCCGUACACCAUCCUGCAAAGUUAUGAACCUGUCACCAUCAUAUUCAGCUGCAACACCAAGAAAAGUUUGAAAAAUUACCAUAUAUUUCAAAACCUGAAAGGUUAAAUUUAUGUACAAGGACCAGAGCUUCAUCAUCCUAAGGGAACUUGUUCCUGGAUCCUACUCAUGUAUCAUAAUUCAUAUGAAUUAAAGAGUAGCUCGAAUAACAUCACGGAACUAGAAGAACAUUAGUCUCUGACAGGAAAAACAUAACCUAAUUCAUGGGUUCCCGCCAACCCUUGCACUCCAAAUAAUCUUGCAAAAUCAAAGCAAAUAUGUAGCAAGGAAAGGGAGUAUUUUCUACAUAUGGAGUUUUAGUUACACUGGACCAUGAAUUUUGGUGAUACCCAACAGAUUAAUAGCAUGAGGGUGAAUUGUAUG
This 7824-nucleotide long non-coding RNA is filed under the name Solanum tuberosum (potato). Its description in RNAcentral is "long non-coding RNA (STUB_LNC010201)". Lineage: Eukaryota; Viridiplantae; Streptophyta; Magnoliopsida; Solanales; Solanaceae. The record is from RNAcentral.